RNAcentral lists this long non-coding RNA (1153 nucleotides) under Phoenix dactylifera (date palm). Its description in RNAcentral is "long non-coding RNA (PDAC_LNC006145)". The record is from RNAcentral. Lineage: Eukaryota; Viridiplantae; Streptophyta; Magnoliopsida; Arecales; Arecaceae.
GCGGAUCCUCGUGUGCCGGCCGGUCAAGGAGGAGGAUCCCCACCAAACGCACGAAGAGGCCUCGGAUCCGUGGGUUUGCUCAUGGAUUUCUCCACCGAAUCCUCGCCGGAAGGGCCGCCGGAGCAUCCCGCCGGACCGAGGUAAGCCCUUGUGCUUCAUUGCUUGAUUUUUGGGUCGUGUGAGUGGGAUUUUGGCCGGCGGAUCGUCGGGAAAGAGUCCGAAACAGGGUACCCCUGUUUCGGCCUCCCUCUUCUGAAUGUUGGCCGCCGCCGGUCGCCGGUUGGCCGGGAUCCAUGGCAUUGGGGGUUGAUCGAGUUGUGUAAGGGUGGAGAUGAGUUCCUAGGGCCUUGUUGGGGAUCGGGAUGGGUGGACCGAGGGCUUUCCGCAUGGUUCCAUCCCAUCUCCUUUCUCCCUUCCGCGUUGGUUGGCCACCGGCGGUGACGAUGGCGGCUGGCCACAGGCGGCGGCGGCGGUGAUCGUGGACCCUUGUGGCUGCCGUCGGGUGGGGGGAGCCGAACCACCAUUUCGGUGGUCUUCGGUUGAUGAUGGAAGAAAAAGGGGUAGGGGACAGUGUCGAUUGGAAAGAAGAAGAAGAAGAAGAAGAAGGAAGAAGAAAAAAGAAAGAAGAAGAGGAGGAGGAGACCCCUUCUCCUCUCUUUCUCUUGGCCGGCCACCAUCGCCGGCGACUGCAGCAGGGGCGGCCGGCGAUGGUUCGGCCAAUGGUGGCCGAGUUGUUGUCGGGUUGGAGAAGGAGAGGGCACAGCCACCAUGGCUGUUGCCCUUGGAUCAAAAAGAUUUGAGGGAGGGAGAUGUACUCCCAACCAUGAAGAGAGAGGAAUCAUUCCUUUAUGUUGGUCUCUUUACCGGGACCGGCCAUCAUCGCCGGCGUGGCAGCGGCCACGGUUGGCGACGACGUAGGCCGGUGGUACAAGGUGGGAGUCGGGCUACCCCGACUGCCCUAGAUCUGGAGGGAUUGAGAUGUUUGGGGACCUGAUGAUGGACCCCAUAACAGAUGAGAAUUAUAGUUCAGAAUAUGUUAAUAUUAAAUAAUUUAGUUGUGAUUUAUAAUUAAUGUUGUAGGGGAAGAGUCAACGGAGCCAGGAGGUUUUGAUCAGGGGACUCAGCACCCCAGCGCGUAGGUUGUGAUUCGGAC